RNAcentral lists this ribosomal RNA (253 nucleotides) under uncultured bacterium. RNAcentral's name for it is "partial 16S ribosomal RNA". It matches the Rfam family "Bacterial small subunit ribosomal RNA", at positions 524 to 776 of the family's 1533-position model. The record is from RNAcentral.
UACGUAGGGUGCGAGCGUUAAUCGGAAUUACUGGGCGUAAAGCGUGCGCAGGCGGUUCGUUGUGUCGGCGGUGAAAGCCCCGGGCUUAACCUGGGAAUGGCCGUCGAAACUGGCGAACUGGAGUGUGGCAGAGGGGGGUGGAAUUCCGCGUGUAGCAGUGAAAUGCGUAGAGAUGCGGAGGAACACCAAUGGCGAAGGCAGCCCCCUGGGCUAACACUGACGCUCAGGCACGAAAGCGUGGGGAGCAAACAGG